UGGGGAAUUUUCCGCAAUGGGCGAAAGCCUGACGGAGCAACGCCGCGUGAGGGAGGAAGGCCUGUGGGUUGUAAACCUCUUUUAUCAGGGAAGAAGAUCUGACGGUACCUGAUGAAUCAGCAUCGGCUAACUCCGUGCCAGCAGCCGCGGUAAUACGGAGGAUGCAAGCGUUAUCCGGAAUUAUUGGGCGUAAAGCGUCCGCAGGCGGCUGUUCAAGUCUGCUGUCAAAUACCAGGGCUAAACUCUGGGCAGGCGGUGGAAACUGAAUAGCUAGAGUAUGACAGGGGUAGAGGGAAUUCCCAGUGUAGCGGUGAAAUGCGUAGAUAUUGGGAAGAACACCGGUGGCGAAAGCGCUCUACUGGGUCAAGACUGACGCUGAGGGACGAAAGCUAGGGGAGCGAAAGGGAUUAGAUACCCCCGUAGUCC
RNAcentral lists this ribosomal RNA (426 nucleotides) under uncultured prokaryote. Its description in RNAcentral is "bacterial SSU rRNA". It matches the Rfam family "Bacterial small subunit ribosomal RNA", at positions 355 to 796 of the family's 1533-position model. The record is from RNAcentral.